CAAUUUGACGCACAGAUUCUCACAUCCAAAUACAAAAAUGGGGUAAUAAGUGGACGGUGCAAGGCCCUUCUUCCUUGUAAAAAGCAGAGGUAAAGUAUGGAUUAAAGAAAGAUUUAAGUGUGUUUACUUUCACUGUUGUUUCUUGGGUCCAAGAGGCUUAUAUACUGGGAAUGUUAGAUAGACCGAACCAAGGCAAAAUCCAAAGUCCUCGGGUUUCUUUCCGUCUGAACUAAUUGCUUUCCAGCACCAAACCAUGCCGAGAAAGAAGAGGAAGAAGAUGGUGCUAAGAAUCCCAAGUGUUGGAUAAUGUAACUACCCUCUUCUUCCUUCACUGGAUGCAAGGGGACACAAGGCAAGUCAUCGAGGCGAAGGGAAGGUCAUGCCUUUCUUCUGGGUUUUCUUAGUUCUUUUGUGUUCAUGCUAUCCUUGGCAUAAACUGCUUAUGUUUUCAACCAAGAUUCCUGUACUGGUAGGUUAAAGUUGUGCCAAGCUGUUCUUGUUAUUGUAAAAUGUGACUCCUUCCAUGAUGCUAGUAUGAGUUUUCUACGUACUUGAUGCUAUUAUUAGUUUCUUUCCGCUUUAAUCAGAUGCACAAAAUCUUUGAGUUCUGUAGAUUCACCACA
Populus euphratica (Euphrates poplar) is the source of this 623-nucleotide long non-coding RNA. RefSeq lists it as uncharacterized. The transcript is spliced from 2 exons. NCBI's taxonomy places the organism in Eukaryota, Viridiplantae, Streptophyta, Magnoliopsida, Malpighiales, Salicaceae. The record is from RefSeq and is a predicted model, not a curated record.